This 6310-nucleotide long non-coding RNA is filed under the name Triticum aestivum (bread wheat). RNAcentral's name for it is "long non-coding RNA (TAES_LNC019911)". Lineage: Eukaryota; Viridiplantae; Streptophyta; Magnoliopsida; Poales; Poaceae. The record is from RNAcentral.
UAGUUGCUGAUUGAUCACAUUCUAGGAGGCUGGUUGAAGCCUGUUCAGGAGUUUGGAUUUAUAAAUGGCCCCCAUUCAUUGAUUUGGUUGACAUUGCACAUGAGUUGCUGUGAGCAAAGAGUUAGACCAUUUUGCUUACUGUUUUCAGAGCCUUGCCAGCAAUCCAAGUUUUGACAUGGACUUGUAUGUUGUAUCCGAGAAGUAAAAAAAAAUGCACUGGUAUUUAUUUUUGAAACAGAGAACUGCAGGAACAGUAAACUUGAUUUGUACAAGUGAGAGAUGAGGAGGAUAUAUAGAGGCAGAGCUGAUCCAAGCCAGUUGCAGUCUUUGGGGCUGAGAGGAUUAACCUGUUGUAUACAUUGUGGAAUAUUAUGUUGUUAUCAGAGAGAACCUGACUGACUUGUAUCAUCAUCAUCAUGUAUACCUGUAUCCUCUGUGGAUUGACAUGUACAUUGACCAGUAGGUAAAAGUAUAUGGAGUGAUGGCCCGUAUCAUCAUCAUCAUCAUCAUCAUCAUCAUCAUGUACACAGUAGCCCGUUCCGGUCGUAUUUCUCUCUCUAGAUAUGGAGUGAUGGCAGGCAUAGGAAUGAUAUGUUGAGGUUAGUCUUGUGAAACUAAUGUUGCAGUUGUUGUUUGUUGUAGACUGAGCAUGUCUGUUUUAUUUCUUUGGGUUUCGUUCGGCAUCUCAAUAAGUACAUGUCUGUUUUAGUUUAUGAGUUGUUUCUUUUCUUUCUUGUGAGCUAUAAAUAAAUGUCAAAUAGUAUUAUCAACCUUGGGAAAUAUUAUCAACAUUUACUCCUCUGUCACAUAUUAACCGACAGAUAAAUGGGAAUCGGCUUUAGCAUAGUCUGAUCUGAUGUACUAGAAUUUAGUUCCAAUUUUGAAUUUUAGGCAUUAGCUUUGGUGGUGCUGUGCUGUGCUGUGCUGUGCUGUGUAGGUUUGGUGGUGCAAGAUGACGGCGUCGUCUUGCUGCUGCUUCCGACUGCUGUUGAGUCGGUGUCUGUUUCCCAAGAUUAUGCUUGUGGGUUUUGAUCUGAAGAAGAAUAAAUUGGAGCUUAGCGAAUUGAGGUUGGUUUCUACGUACGUAUUUGGUUUGGUUAGCCAUCCCGUCCCGUGGUUAAUUUUUUUUGGCUGGCCAUGUUUAUGUUGCUAGUACUGUAACCAAAUCUGAGAUGAGUCUGCAACUGUAAACUAGCUUGUGGCAAGCAUCUGAUCAUUUGAAAUCUGCAGUCUUGUCCGUGUGAGUGAUGCAUCCCGUCGUUUAAUAUUUUGGCCAUUAGCUUUGGUGGUGCUGUUCUCUGUUGUGCUGUGUAGGUUUGGUGCUGCAAAGGUUCAAGUCAGUACCUGUUUCCCAAGAUUGUGCUUGUGAAAAAUGUUCGUGAAAGUUUCUUGGAUUUGGAAAAAGAUCAUGAGUUCAAAAGAUGUUCAAUAAAUGAAAAAUUGUUCCCGAAUUUUAAAAUAGAUCACAAAUUUGAGAAACAUUCAAAAAUUCAAAAAAAUAUUCACAGAUUGAAAAGUGUUUGUGGAUUUGAAACAAGUUCAAAAAUUCAAAGAAAAUUGUUAAAUGAAAAAUAUUUGCACAUUUGAAAAAUAUCACAAAAUUAAAAAUAGUUCAUGGAUUUAACAAAGUUCAUGAACUUGAGAAAAGGUCUCAUUUUUUUAAAAAAAAAUGCGAAUUUGAGUAAAGUUCAUGAACUUGAAAAAAUAUUAACGAUUUAAAAAAUGUUCAUCAUUUCAAAAUGUAAAAAAAAGAAAAGAAAAAAAUGAAUGAGUAAAAAGAGUAAUGAAAACAACAAAGAAACUGAAAGAUAAAUCAAAAUAGUACUAAAAAAGAGAACGGAAAAUAAUGUGAAAACCAGAAAGGAAAAAACCAAAUAGAAAACCAUGGCUGGAAAAUACAGAAAGACUGUCAAAAAAAGAGAAACCGAAUAGAAAACCAUGGCUGGAAAAUACAAAAAGACUGUCAAAAAAAAAGAGAAACCGAAAAGAAAACCAUGGCUGGAAAAUACACAAAGACUGUAAAAAAAAAGAGAAACCAUGCGAAAGAACAUUCUAGAAUGUUCCCAAAAGCGGCAAUUAACCACACUGUUCCAUGGGCCAGGCCGUUAGAAGUAGCAGCCCCCCACCUGAGCUCUCGCUACGAAUAAAGAGCUAUCACCAGAUAGGAUAUACCCCUAAAAAAACCAGAUAGGAUAUGGCUAAAACUUGCGUGUCUCAAAUGUUUUUGUUGGAUAUUUAUGCAAAAUAUUUUAUUUUUGAGCCCGUCAAAAAAUAUUUUAUUUUAUUUUUGAGAGACAUAUCAUUUAAGGACGCGUCUACACAGCGGCCGGCUGCUCCCUGUCGUUUCGGAGCAGCCGGCCAAAAUACAAAAAGUUUGAUAUGUAAUCCAUAAAAAGAAAUGUCUUGUCCUUAUGUCUUGUCCUUUUUGUCCUUUAUAUUGAUUAGAUUUUUUUCCAUCUGGUCCUUUUUUCAUGACAUAUUAAAUGCCCGAAACAGUUAUCUUUUAGAUGUAGAGUGCAUGUGCAUUUAAUUUGUGGUUUUAAAUUUUCAAAAAACAAUAACUUUCAAAUUGCGCAUCAAAAUUAAGAUUCGUUUUCACUACUGGAACCAUCGCGGCGUGCUCUUCGAAACUAAAUCCCACAUGAGUAUAUUUCGACGAAUUUUUUUGUGCAAUUUUGUCCCCGUUUUGUGCAACUGACUAACCGUUGUUGUGUAACUACCUGACAGGGAUGUGCAACUUUUCUCGUACACUGUAGACAUGCAGUUUUUCUCUAUGGUGCCUCCACCUUCAAACUGCCUCCUUUCAGUGAGAUGUGCAACUUCGUUUGUUGUCUAGGCCAUGCAGUUUUCACUAGUGGCACCACCCCAUACUACUCUCUAACAGUGAAAUGUGCAUUUUCGCUGUGCCCUAGCCAACUGCCUAGUAGUCGUCGUGUGUGGGCAGCCCCCACAACCGUGUUCGAGGGACUAUCCUAUGAGGAUGUCCCAACUCCACGGUCACGCAUGUGCGACUAUGCACACAAGAGUGUGCAACUCCGUGGUCGGACGUGGGCAUCUCCCACAGUAGUUCAUGUGCGACUAUGCAGACGAGAUUGUGCAACUGUGUGGCCAUGCAUGUGCGACUAUGCUGAUGAGAGUGUGCAACUCCGUGGUCGGACAUGACCACGUCCCACAAAAACUUAUGUGCGACUAUGCGGACGAGAUUGUGCAACUCUGUGGCCAUGCAUAUGCGACUGUGCCGACGAGAGUGUGCAACUCCGCGGCCAUGCAUGAGCACCUCCCACGAUAAUUCAUGUGCGACUAUGCGGACGAGAUUGUACAACUCUGUGUUCAUGCAUGAGCAUCUCCCACGAUAAUUCAUGUGCGACUAUGCGGACGAGAUUUUGCAACUCUGUGUUCGUGCAUGUGCAACUAUGCCGACGAGAGUGUGCAAUCCCGCGGCCAUGCGUGAGCACCUCCCACGAUAAUUUAUGUACUAUGCACACGAGAUUGUGCAACUCUGUGGCCAUGCAUGUGCGAUUAUACCGACGAGAGUGUGCAACUCCGCGGCCGGGCAUGAGCACCUCCCACGACAAUUCAUGUGCGACUAUGCGGACGAGAUCGUGUAACUCUGUGACCAUGCAUAUUGUGCCGACAAAAGUGUGCAACUCCGCGGCCAUGCGUGAGCAUCUCCCCACGGACCCGCGACUAAUGCAUUGCGUCCUUGCAUCGACAAUGACCCGGCGGAGAUCAUCAUCAUCGGGCACAUCGUCUGGUUCCUCUUGAUCUUCAGCAGCUUCACCCGUGGCAGCAUCAUUGGGCACAUCGUCUGGUUCCUCUUGAUCUUCACCAGCUCCCCACGUUGCAGCAUCACCGUAUUCAGGGGGCACAUAGUUGUCAUCGUACUCUUCUUCUUCGCCGUCUUCCAUCAUAACCCCUAUUUCUCCGUGCCUCGUCCAAACAUUAUAGUGUGGCAUGAAACCCUUGUAAAGCAGGUGGGAGUGAAGGAUUUUCCGGUUAGAGUAAGACCUCAUAUUCCCACAUUCAGUGCAUGGACAACGCAUAAAACCAUUCUGCUUGUUUGCCUCAGCCGCAUCGAGAAACUCAUGCACGCUCUUAAUGUACUCGCGGGUGUGUCUGUCACCGUACAUCCAUUGCCGGUUCAUCUGCGUGCAUUAUAUAUAAUUAAGUGUCCAAAUUAAUAGAAGUUCAUCAUCACAUUAAAACCAAAGUGCAUACAUAGUUCUCAUCUAACAACAUAUAGCUCUCCAGAGCAUCUACUUAAUUAAACCAUACAUUGAAACUAUGUAAAACAUUUCAAUGCGAAAACAAAUGCGAUCAUAAUCGCAACCAAGGUAACAAUUGAUCCAACGGUAUAAUGAUACCAAGUCUCGGUAUGAAUGGCAUAUUUUCUAAUCUUUCUAAUCUUCAAGCGCAUUGCAUCCAUCUUGAUCUUGUGAUCAUCGACGACAUCCGCAACAUGCAACUUCAAUAUCAUCUUCUCCUCCUCAAUUUUUUUUUAUUUUUUCCUUCAACAAAUUGUUUUCUUCUUCAACUAAAUUUAACCUCUCGACAAUAGGAUCGGUUGGCAUUUCCGAUUCACAUACAUCCUAGAUAAAUAAAAUCUAUGUCACGUUGGUCGGCAUAAUUUUCAUAAACAAUAAAUGAACCAAUAGUUAUAAAGAUAAUAUACAUACCAAAUCCGAAUCAUAGACAGGACGAGGGCCGACGGGGGCGGAUACCAAAACCAUCGCACUAUAUAAGAUGCAAUAAUAAAUGUAAGAAAAUGAUACAAGUAUCUAUCUAAACAUACAAGUAAGAAUAUUUUUCCUUUCAGAAAGAAGAUAAGAACAAGAGGCUCACCACGGUGGUGUCGGUGAUGAGAUCGGCGCGGGUGAUCGACGGCGGUGAAGACGGGGAUGGGGCGUGACGGACCGCUAAAUCUAGACAAAUCUCGAGGAAAAUGGAGCUUGGAGGUCGAGCUUCGAGAGGAGAAAGCUUAAUAGUGUGGCUCGGGCAUUCCAUCGAACACCUCAUGUGCAUAGGAGGUGAGCUAGAGCACCACAAAGCCCUCUCCCCCUCGGCCAGAAAAAACAGAGCACUGUGCUCUGCUCUUGCGCGAGGGGGUAUAUAUAGGCACCUCAUUGGUCCCGGUUGGUGGCAUGAACCGGGACCAAAGGGGAGCCUUUGGUCCCGGUUCAAGCCACCAACCAGGACCAAUGGUAGUGGGCCAGGAGCGAGGCCCAUUGGUCCCGGUUCGUCCCACCAACCGGGACCAAAAGGUCCAGACGAACCGGGACCAAUGGCCCACGUGGCCCGGCCGGCCCCCUGGGCUCACGAACCGGGACCAAUGCCCACAUUGGUCCCGGUUCUAUACUGAAUCGGGACUAAUGGGCUGAGCCGGCCUGGACCAUAGCCCUGUUUUCUACUAGUGAACCGUGCCGACGAAAGUGUGCAACUCCGCGGCCAUGCGUGAGCAUCUCCCCACGACAAUUCAUGUGCGACUAUGCGGACAAGAUUGUACAACUCUCUGUACAUGCGUGUGUGACUAUGCCGGCAAGAGUGUGCAACUCCGCGUCCGGGCGUAAGAACCUCCCACGAUAAUUCAUGUGCUACUAUAUGGGCCAGAUUGUGCAACUCUGUUGCCAUGCAUGUGCGACUGGGCCGACGAAAGUGUGCAACUUGGCGGCGGGGCAUGAGAACAUCCCAUGAUAAUUCAUAUGCGAUUAUACGGAUCAGAUUGUGCAACUAUAUGGUUAUGCAUGUGCCAAAUAAAACUAGUAUAUGUGCAACUACAACUAGUGUGAGUAUCAACUAGCCAUCCAGGAAGAGUCUAGAUGCACGAACACACAGCCGCGUGCAGACCACCGCGAUGCAUUCAUCCGUGCUCCCUUCUUCUUGUCCUUGCCACGUGCUCCCUUCUUCCCGUCCACAACAAGGAUGCAUGCACCCUUCUCAUUCACUCCCAGCCUUUUGGAUCAAUGGAUUCGGAGGGAGGCGCUCUACAUUUGUACUGCUACAUAGAAAUAAAAUGGAGUGAGAAAGAAGAUGUGGCUGCAGGAAGAAAAGAGCGAGAAGAGAAUCUGAAUUUGCUUUCCCCCUUGUUUGACCCGUUCCUCCCCUUACAUGUGUUAUUCCCUGAGGUGCUGCUGCCUGAAGAGAAUCUGAUGCCGCAAAGAAAAUAUGGAUGCUAAUAAACAGAGAACUGCAGGAACAGUAAACUUGAUUUGUACAAGUGAGAGAUGAGGAGGAUAUAUAGAGGCAGAGCUGAUCCAAGCCAGUUGCAAUCUUCGGGGCUAAGAGGAUUAACCUGUUGUAUACAUUGUGGAAU